Molecule: ribosomal RNA, 492 nt
Filed under: uncultured bacterium
Lineage: Bacteria
Description: partial 16S ribosomal RNA
Rfam family: Bacterial small subunit ribosomal RNA
Source: RNAcentral
AGUGAACGCUGGCGGUAGGCCUAACACAUGCAAGUCGAACGGCGGCACAGUAAGAGCUUGCUCUUACGGGUGGCGAGUGGCGGACGGGUGAGGAAUACAUCGGAAUCUACUUUUUCGUGGGGGAUAACGUAGGGAAACUUACGCUAAUACCGCAUACGACCUACGGGUGAAAGCAGGGGAUCUACGGACCUUGCGCGAUUGAAUGAGCCGAUGUCGGAUUAGCUAGUUGGCGGGGUAAAGGCCCACCAAGGCGACGAUCCGUAGCUGGUCUGAGAGGAUGAUCAGCCACACUGGAACUGAGACACGGUCCAGACUCCUACGGGAGGCAGCAGUGGGGAAUAUUGGACAAUGGGCGCAAGCCUGAUCCAGCCAUACCGCGUGGGUGAAGAAGGCCUUCGGGUUGUAAAGCCCUUUUGUUGGGAAAGAAAAGCAGCAGGUUAAUACCCCGCUGUUCUGACGGUACCCAAAGAAUAAGCACCGGCUAACUUCGUG